UUGGCCACGGAUCAGGC
This 17-nucleotide ribosomal RNA is filed under the name Roccella phycopsis. RNAcentral's name for it is "partial large subunit ribosomal RNA". Lineage: Eukaryota; Fungi; Ascomycota; Arthoniomycetes; Arthoniales; Roccellaceae. The record is from RNAcentral.